Molecule: ribosomal RNA, 1995 nt
Filed under: Triticum aestivum (bread wheat)
Lineage: Eukaryota; Viridiplantae; Streptophyta; Magnoliopsida; Poales; Poaceae
Description: partial small subunit ribosomal RNA
Source: RNAcentral
AUGAGGUUAAUGUGCUCACCGAUAAGGUUCGCGCAAAUGAUUGAUGUGUUAGAUGACGAGCACCUAAAGGCCAUCUGCACUCAAACCGGUCUUGGAGGGCUAACAAAGAUGAAGUCAGUGUCUCUCCGACGUAUUAUGUUGGUGCUGCUAGCGAAGAGCUACAUCCACGACAUGCAGAGUAUUCACAUUGCUGCACCCACGGUACAAGAUUAUGUCGACUCCAAAUAUUUCGUCCUUGUUGAAGACGUCGCAAGAAUUCCCAAUUUUAACUGGGGAUGUUUCACACUGGACCAUUUGAUAACAUCCAUCAAUACUUUUAAUUAUAAGGAUCAAGUCAAUCUACAAGGAAAUAUAGCUUUGCUCCAAUUUUGGUAUUGGGAACAUGUUCGUGCUGGAUCGAUUUUGUAUUCUCGUAUACCCCGUCCGCUGAUGGCACGGUGGGAUGAAGCCACAGUACUGAUUCUUUAUAUCUUUUCAAAGGUUGUCAUGAACAUUGGCGGUCUGGAGCCAACCAACAUUACAAAUGACCAGCAUACCAACAAAGAUACACAUGCGCAUGAAGAUGCUAUCUAUCGACCACAACCACGAGGUCAAACUAUGAGUAGCCAACAAAUGGACAUGAUACUUCAAACCCAGAACGAUCUAUUUGCAGAACAAGAGAAAAAGUUGGUCAAACAAGUAGUAGAAGUAGAGCACAAAUUAGAUAAAAGAAUAAUCACCGUGACCGAGGACGUGAUAAACAUAAGGGGUAAAAUUGCCACUCAACCUAGGUUGUCCAAGCUGGAGGACGAAGUUGGAGACCUCAAAAGGGAAGUUGGAGACCUCAAAAGGGAACUCCAGGAACAAGAGCAACCAAGCAAUGGCAAGUUUUCAUCAACUCCUGGGUUUGACGCAUGGAAAGCACGGACUUCUGCUGGUACACCUAGUGCAAAACCUGUGGUGCAAAACGAGGAGUUGGACCAAGACAUCCCACCACGGAAGCCUGUAUUCAACAAUGAUUACAUAUUGACAGAUGAAGACUAUGAGGCUGCACUUUUCAUCCGAGGGAGUCACGACCUUGUUGAGGUAGUUCACAUCGAAGACAUUGUGCUAACAGUUCAUCAACUCAAGACAAAUGUUAGCAAACUAUUCUUCGUCGAUGACGUUAUUAAUGCAUAUGCACACAUUAGCAAUGUUGCAACUGAUGCUACAUCAUUCAUUUCCACCGUAGAAAGCAGAAGAUUGCUAGGCGAAUUUGGGGGUAUUCCAAUGGGAUGCAAAAGCCCACAUGUUGCUAAUGUAGCAACGAAAUUUGUAGGACGCAAAAUGGUACGUGUCCCAAUGAAUGUGCACAGCAUGCACUGGUUAUUACUCGUGUUUAAUUUAGACAAAGAAGAGACCCAGGUCCUAAACUCCAUCCAAGCAUAUCGUGACAUUGCCAAGGAAACUGCACUGGUGGAGUCCAUUCAGGCGUGUAUCAACGAAGCGGUCGAGGAUGGCUUGGUAACACUGCCUAAACCCAUCAAUAUUACCCAGUGGAAAACCACUUGCUAUACUAACAUACCACAACAGACGGAUGGUUAUUCCUGUGGGGCGUACACACUCAAAUACAUGUUGACAUGGGACGGAGACAAAAUUACUGAGGAUUUCACACAGGAAGAAAUACAUAUUUUCAGCUGGAAAAUAUGUUCAAGCUUGCUGCGUUCGGAUUGCAACAAGCUUCGGAAAAAAUCAUACAAGAAUCCUAUAGAGAAGGACGAGUACAAAGCCAGCAUUCCAGAGGAACGAAAAGGUGCAGACGAUGACGUCACGAUUGUCAGCCCCCCUGAUGUUACAAACAAACCAGACACAUCCGGUGCCCCAAAGCGUAAACGUGGACGCCCGAGGAAGAAUGCCCCUCCUAGUAAUCCAGUGAAACAACAAUUUGACACAGAGACUAUCGCUAAACAAGUGGAGUCAAAAAGACGCAAGCGCAAACCAUCAAACGCCGUGUCCAGCCCAUUCGUACAACCAUGA